This 253-nucleotide ribosomal RNA is filed under the name uncultured bacterium. RNAcentral's name for it is "partial 16S ribosomal RNA". It matches the Rfam family "Bacterial small subunit ribosomal RNA", at positions 524 to 776 of the family's 1533-position model. The record is from RNAcentral.
UACGGAGGGUGCAAGCGUUAUCCGGAUUCACUGGGCUUAAAGGGCGCGUAGGCGGGUCUGAAAGUCAGUGGUGAAAUCUCCGGGCUCAACCCGGAAACUGCCAUUGAUACUACAGGUCUUGAAUUUUCUGGAGGAUAGCGGAAUAUGUCAUGUAGCGGUGAAAUGCUUAGAUAUGACAUAGAACACCAAGUGCGAAGGCAGCUAUCUACAGGGAUAUUGACACUGAGGCACGAAAGCGUGGGGAUCAAACAGG